RNAcentral lists this long non-coding RNA (305 nucleotides) under Phoenix dactylifera (date palm). Its description in RNAcentral is "long non-coding RNA (PDAC_LNC003490)". The record is from RNAcentral. Lineage: Eukaryota; Viridiplantae; Streptophyta; Magnoliopsida; Arecales; Arecaceae.
AAUCUAGUUUUUGGUACAUGGAUAGCUUUUGUUCAGAUGAUCAUGGUGGAGUUGUCUACAAGCAGAAUCCAGUUUUUGGUAUAAGAAUAUUUUUGUCUACAUAAUGGUUGUUUGGAUGAAUAGCAAGAUCAGAUAUUUUAGGAUUUUUAAUUUAUAUUUUGAUGUGUUUGGUGAUGAUUAUCACCUUAACAUAUGGUAUGGAUGAAACAUUAUGAUGUAUGGUUAAUAGGUAUGCUUGACUUUAGACUUAUAGAUGAUGAUAUUUAUAAUGAAUGAUUAUGGAUUCUCCAACAUUGUGUAUACUU